Molecule: long non-coding RNA, 491 nt
Filed under: Gossypium raimondii (Peruvian cotton)
Lineage: Eukaryota; Viridiplantae; Streptophyta; Magnoliopsida; Malvales; Malvaceae
Description: long non-coding RNA (GRAI_LNC002728)
Source: RNAcentral
UUUCGUUUUAUUUUUAUUCAUUUGUGUCCCCUAAAAUACAUAAAUUCGGGGCCUUUUUAUAGCCCGAAAUUUCCUACUUUUCCUACUUUUACAAUGUUUCUUUGUUCUUGGACUCUCCUAGUCCGUUUUGUAGGUACACACGUGGCGGCACAUACGGAGAAGGCAGUGCGAAGGGCGGCGUGCGGCGGCUGUCAUUUGGCUACUAUUGUGGGCGGCGGUUGAAGCUUGGUUGCUACCUAGGGUUUUCUUUGCUGUUUUUUUUUUGAAAAUUUUGUGGGCUAGGGUUAGUUAUUGGUUUUGGGUUUUAAUUUGGGUUGAUUUGUAAUUUGGACUUUUAUUUUUUAUUUUUGGGUUUUUAUUUGGUUUAUUUCGGAUAGGCCCAGGCCAAAAUUGGCCUAUUACAGCUGCCCCUCUUUGCUCGUUAUCGUGUAACGGGAACAGAACAAAGACUUUAGAAAUGGCAAAUUUUGCCUGGUCGUACUGGAUCUUGG